This 441-nucleotide ribosomal RNA is filed under the name Triticum aestivum (bread wheat). RNAcentral's name for it is "partial small subunit ribosomal RNA". The record is from RNAcentral. Lineage: Eukaryota; Viridiplantae; Streptophyta; Magnoliopsida; Poales; Poaceae.
GAGAAGGCCUAUGAUAAGAUACCGCGGAAUGUCAUGUGGUGGGCCUUGGAGAAACACAAAGUUCCAGCAAAGUACAUUACCCUCAUCAAGGACAUGUACGAUAAUGUUGUGACAAGUGUUCGAACAAGUGAUGUCGACACCGAUGACUUCCCGAUUAAGAUAGGACUGCAUCAGGGGUCAGCUUUGAGCCCUUAUCUUUUUGCAUUGGUGAUGGAUGAGGUCAUAAGGGAUAUACAAGGAGAUAUCCCAUGGUGUAUGCUCUUUGCGGAUGAUGUGGUGCUAGUUGACGAUAGUCGGACGGGGGUAAAUGGGAAGUUAGAGUUAUGGAGAGAAACCUUGGAAUUGAAAGGGUUUAGGCUUAGUAGAACUAAAACCGAGUACAUGAUGUGCGGUUUCAGUACUACUAGGUGUGAGGAGGAGGAGGUUAGCCUUGAUGGUCAG